ACGCUCGACACCUACGGGGGGCAGCAGUGAGGAAUAUUGGUCAAUGGGCGCUAGCCUGAACCAGCCAAGUAGCGUGAAGGAUGAAGGCUCUAUGGGUCGUAAACUCCUUUUAUAUAAGAAUAAAGUGCAGUAUGUAUACUGUUUUGUAUGUAUUAUAUGAAUAAGGGUCGGCUAACUCCGUGCUAGCAGCCGCGGUAAUCUGAGGCGGGCGUGGCGAAGGC
This 221-nucleotide ribosomal RNA is filed under the name uncultured bacterium. Its description in RNAcentral is "partial 16S ribosomal RNA". It matches the Rfam family "Bacterial small subunit ribosomal RNA", at positions 328 to 544 of the family's 1533-position model. The record is from RNAcentral.